UACGGAGGAUGCGAGCGUUAUCCGGAUUUAUUGGGUUUAAAGGGUGCGUAGGCGGACUGUCAAGUCAGCGGUAAAAUUGAGAGGCUCAACCUCUUCCCGCCGUUGAAACUGGUGGUCUUGAGUGGAUGAGAAGUACGCGGAAUGCGUGGUGUAGCGGUGAAAUGCAUAGAUAUCACGCAGAACUCCGAUUGCGAAGGCAGCGUACCGGCAUCCAACUGACGCUGAGGCACGAAAGCGUGGGGAUCAUACAGG
This 252-nucleotide ribosomal RNA is filed under the name uncultured bacterium. RNAcentral's name for it is "partial 16S ribosomal RNA". It matches the Rfam family "Bacterial small subunit ribosomal RNA", at positions 524 to 776 of the family's 1533-position model. The record is from RNAcentral.